CAGUCUGGAGUCCGGGGGCGGUGUUAAGACGGGGGGUGGACGCUGUUGCUGGAUUCACGGGGCGGAAAGGUCGCGUAGUGGGCGUGAUAAGUUAGUGGUGAAAUCCCGUUUCUCAACGACGGGGCCGCAGGGGAGACUGUCUGGCUGGAGCUUGGUAGGGGCGAGUGGAAUUCCCGGUGUAGCGGUGGAAUGCGUAGAGAUCGGGAAGAACACCGGUGGCGAAGGCGGCUCGCUGGGCCAAUGCUGACGCUGAUGCGCGAAAGCGUGGGGAGCAAACAGGAUUAGAUACCCCUAGUAGUC
RNAcentral lists this ribosomal RNA (300 nucleotides) under uncultured Vibrio sp. RNAcentral's name for it is "partial 16S ribosomal RNA". The stretch from base 51 to 300 matches the Rfam family "Bacterial small subunit ribosomal RNA", at positions 547 to 795 of the family's 1533-position model. Lineage: Bacteria; Pseudomonadati; Pseudomonadota; Gammaproteobacteria; Vibrionales; Vibrionaceae. The record is from RNAcentral.